AUCACGUGGAAACACCGGUUUCCGUACGAUCACCGAAGUUAAGCAACAUCAAAGCUGGUCAGUACUAUGAUGGGUGACCACUUAGGUG
Acanthosepion pharaonis is the source of this 88-nucleotide non-coding RNA. NCBI's taxonomy places the organism in Eukaryota, Metazoa, Mollusca, Cephalopoda, Sepiida, Sepiidae. The record is from the annotation of a GenBank genome assembly.